CCUACGGGAGGCAGCAGUGGGGAAUUUUGGACAAUGGGCGAAAGCCUGAUCCAGCCAUGCCGCGUGCAGGAUGAAGGCCUUCGGGUUGUAAACUGCUUUUGUACGGAACGAAAAGCCUCUUUCUAAUAAAGAGGGGUCAUGACGGUACCGUAAGAAUAAGCACCGGCUAACUACGUGCCAGCAGCCGCGGUAAUACGUAGGGUGCGAGCGUUAAUCGGAAUUACUGGGCGUAAAGCGUGCGCAGGCGGUUAUAUAAGACAGUUGUGAAAUCCCCGGGCUCAACCUGGGAACUGCAUCUGUGACUGUAUAGCUAGAGUACGGUAGAGGGGGAUGGAAUUCCGCGUGUAGCAGUGAAAUGCGUAGAUAUGCGGAGGAACACCGAUGGCGAAGGCAAUCCCCUGGACCUGUACUGACGCUCAUGCACGAAAGCGUGGGGAGCAAACAGGAUUAGAUACCCUGGUAGUCCACGCCCUAAACGAUGUCAACUGGUUGUUGGGAAUUCACUUUCUCAGUAACGAAGCUAACGCGUGAAGUUGACCGCCUGGGGAGUACGGCCGCAAGGUUGAAACUCAAAANAGAGUUAGACGGCGUGAGAGUAGCCGACGGACGACGACGAGGGAGGAGGG
RNAcentral lists this ribosomal RNA (626 nucleotides) under uncultured bacterium. Its description in RNAcentral is "bacterial SSU rRNA". It matches the Rfam family "Bacterial small subunit ribosomal RNA", at positions 338 to 955 of the family's 1533-position model. The record is from RNAcentral.